UUUUUUUGGACAAGACUGAAUUAUUCCGUCCAAUUACAAAAUAAAAGGAAAACCUAAUAUCGCACCUCCCAAGCCUUCAUCGAACAGGAUACAAAAUCGCACAUCCCCUAACCUUCAUCGAACGACAUGAUUAACAAAAUUGGCAUAUCAGGUCUCCGACCAGCUUUUCCCUCAGAUAACUCCUCUUCUUGCUUCUCUUCUUACCCAUCAGUGCGAUUUAUCAUUGGGUUUAGAUUGGUGUUGCUCGAUUAUGCUCAAUAUUCAUUGUCAGUAUUCUCCCUUUUAUACGACUCCAACUUCUCUUUUCAUGUAGGUUCAAGAUUGUUGCAAAAAUCAUUCUUCUCUUUCACUAUCUAGUCUUUAUUGCUAAAAAGUUCUGUUUACCAGAUACAAAUUGUGAUUUUUUAUAUCCAGCUAUUGUUUUGAGAUUUGUAUAUUAUAGUUUUUUCGCAUAUGUUAAAUCGUUUUUGAUAUACGAUUGCUGUUAAAUUGAUGUGUGAUUGAUUGAGUUUAUUCCUCCUCUGUUUCUCUAUUAUUUUUUGAAUUGGUUCCUCUGUAUGUUUUUUAAGUCUACUAUUAUUCUUGUGAAUUUUCAGAAAUUUUCUAAAUGUCUUCGAUGUAUAUUGAUGUUUUCAUUGAAUCCAUCACUAGCCGAGAUAUGAAUUCCACUAGUCAGACAUAUAUAUUGGUUUUAUUAUUUUGUUAAUUGAUGCGAGCUUUCCUGAUUUUCAUAAAUCUGACGCAUCUGUACGAAAUAAGCAUGUGGUCAUUUUGAUUGAUUUGAUCAUUUUUUUCUAAUUGUUUCUCCACUAGGUUGUUAGUUUUACUAAUGCAAGUUUCAUAAGGAUUUUGACAAGUUAUUAGAAGUGUUAUAGCAAUGGACUUAUAUUCUUCCCAUAUCCUACAUGUCGAGAAGUAUUUGAUUGUUAAUGUUUCGACUGUUAAAAGAUCAUUGAUAAUAACUGUUUAGUGAGAUUUAUGAAGCAUAUAACUCUUUUGGUCGGCUGCCCAAUUAUUAUAUUAGUAUAUAUCAUUGUAUUUUUCUGUGGCAGCACUUGUGCGUGCUCUACCCCACCACGAAAAUGAUAGUUUUGGUUCUUCAUAUUGACAGAUGAUAUAGAACUAUCUAUUAAUGCAGUUGUAUUAGUACUAUCAGGCUUGUAAUGGUUUCUAGAUUGUAUUCCUUUUGUUUUCCUAUUUUUUGGUCUUACAUUAGGUCCUAAUGAAUCACGGCAACUAGCUACAACAACUAGGUAUACUAGAGGUUAAUUAAAAUUGUGAAACACUAGUAGUAUAAUAAUAUGAGAUUUUUGUGUUGCCUAUGUUAUUUACUUCUUCAUUUAAAUUGACGCGGCAAACGUUUUGCUCUUGGUAGGGUUAAGUUGUUCUUGAGAUUGUUAUUUCUUAUUAGCUUAAAGAGAAAACUAUCCUGAUUGGUGUUCAAGUUCUAUUUCAUUGAAUCAAAUGUUUGUUUGUAUAUUGAGUUAAUUAAUUGUCUUUUCACAUUUAUUGUGAAAUCAUCUGAAUAACUGUUGUGAUUGUAGAAGAGACAAUAUUCUCUUGAAUUAUGAUGGAUAACUCUAGAAAUAGAAGUUGGAUGUCUUGUUGGGGUACUCAAGAAUAUUUGGAUGGAGUUGAAACUUUUUUAGUUAUGCAUUUCGUGAAAAAGAUAAUGCAAACACAAUUCCUCGCCCAUGCAAACACAAUCCUUGCCCAAUUCAAGAAUAUUUGUGCUUAAAAUAUGAAAAAAUUUCAUGCUAAUGACUGUAUGCUUUUUAGGAAGGAAUUGCUAGUAAGAAUGUUACUGAAUGCUUAAUUUGUGGGGCUUCUAGAUGGAAAAAUAAUGGUAAAAAAUUCCAGCCAAGGUCCAAAGGUAUUUUCCUCUAAAACCAGAUUGCAAAGGUUAUUCAUGUCUUUAGAAACUUCUAAACUAAUGCGAUGUCAUCAUAAAGGACGCAACAAAGAUGGUGUUCUACGGCAUCCUGCAGAUUCUGAAGCUUGAAUUUUUUUGAUAGUAAGUAUGUAGACUUUGCUAGAUAUCCACGUAAUGUUCGCCUAGGAUUAGCUUCUGAUAGGUUUAAUCCAUUUGGCACAAUGCGAACUGUUCGCCUAGAACGCUUCAACAUGAAGAAUGCUAAGCCAGUCAGCACACCUCUUGCUAGUCAUCUA
Molecule: long non-coding RNA, 2169 nt
Filed under: Nicotiana benthamiana
Lineage: Eukaryota; Viridiplantae; Streptophyta; Magnoliopsida; Solanales; Solanaceae
Description: long non-coding RNA (NBEN_LNC003952)
Source: RNAcentral